This 253-nucleotide ribosomal RNA is filed under the name uncultured bacterium. RNAcentral describes it as "partial 16S ribosomal RNA". It matches the Rfam family "Bacterial small subunit ribosomal RNA", at positions 524 to 776 of the family's 1533-position model. The record is from RNAcentral.
UACGUAGGGCGCAAGCGUUAUCCGGAAUUAUUGGGCGUAAAGAGCUCGUAGGCGGUUUGUCGCGUCUGCUGUGAAAACCUAAGGCUCAACCUUGGGCUUGCAGUGGGUACGGGCAGACUAGAGUGCGGUAGGGGUGACUGGAAUUCCUGGUGUAGCGGUGGAAUGCGCAGAUAUCAGGAGGAACACCAAUGGCGAAGGCAGAUCUCUGGGCCGUAACUGACGCUGAGGAGCGAAAGCAUGGGGAGCGAACAGG